This 464-nucleotide ribosomal RNA is filed under the name uncultured bacterium. RNAcentral describes it as "partial 16S ribosomal RNA". It matches the Rfam family "Bacterial small subunit ribosomal RNA", at positions 28 to 506 of the family's 1533-position model. The record is from RNAcentral.
GACGAACGCUGGCGGCGUGCUUAACACAUGCAAGUCGUACGGUAAGGCCCUUUCGGGGGUACACGAGUGGCGAACGGGUGAGUAACACGUGAGUAACCUGCCCACAACUUUGGGAUAACGCUAGGAAACUGGUGCUAAUACUGGAUAUGUGCUCCUGCUGCAUGGUGGGGGUUGGAAAGCUCCGGCGGUUGUGGAUGGACUCGCGGCCUAUCAGCUUGUUGGUGGGGUAGUGGCCUACCAAGGCGGCGACGGGUAGCCGGCCUGAGAGGGUGACCGGCCACACUGGGACUGAGAUACGGCCCAGACUCCUACGGGAGGCAGCAGUGGGGAAUAUUGCACAAUGGGCGCAAGCCUGAUGCAGCAACGCCGCGUGCGGGAUGACGGCCUUCGGGUUGUAAACCGCUUUCAGCAGGGACGAAGCUUUUUGUGACGGUACCUGCAGAAGAAGCACCGGCUAACUACGU